This 71-nucleotide transfer RNA is filed under the name Marmota monax (woodchuck). RNAcentral describes it as "tRNA.Val". It matches the Rfam family "tRNA". From Rfam's summary of the family: Transfer RNA (tRNA) molecules are approximately 80 nucleotides in length. Their secondary structure includes four short double-helical elements and three loops (D, anti-codon, and T loops). Further hydrogen bonds mediate the characteristic L-shaped molecular structure. tRNAs have two regions of fundamental functional importance: the anti-codon, which is responsible for specific mRNA codon recognition, and the 3' end, to which the tRNAs corresponding amino acid is attached (by aminoacyl-tRNA synthetases). tRNAs cope with the degeneracy of the genetic code in two manners: having more than one tRNA (with a specific anti-codon) for a particular amino acid; and 'wobble' base-pairing, i.e. permitting non-standard base-pairing at the 3rd anti-codon position. Lineage: Eukaryota; Metazoa; Chordata; Mammalia; Rodentia; Sciuridae. The record is from RNAcentral.
GGGGUUGUAGCUCAGCGGCGGAGCGCUCACCUCACACGUGGGAGGCCCUGGGUUCCAUCCUCGGCACCACA